GAUUAACGCUAGCGGCAGGCAUAAUACAUGCAAGUUGAACGGGAUUAGUUGUAGCAAUAUGACUAUGAGAGUAGCGCACGGGUGCGUAACGCGUAUGCAACCUGCCUCCAACUGGGGAAUAGCCCCUCGAAAGAGGGAUUAAUACCGCAUAAAAUAGUGAAUAGGCAUCUAUUUACUAUUAAAACUACGGUGGUUGGAGAUGGGCAUGCGUGACAUUAGCUAGUUGGUAGGGUAAUGGCCUACCAAGGCUACGAUGUCUAGGGGGUCUGAGAGGAUGUCCCCCCACACUGGUACUGAGAUACGGACCAGACUCCUACGGGAGGCAGCAGUAGGGAAUAUUGGUCAAUGGAGGCAACUCUGAACCAGCCAUGCCGCGUGCAGGAUGACGGCCCUAUGGGUUGUAAACUGCUUUUGUACGGGAAGAAACCUCAUUACGUGUAAUGAGUUGACGGUACCGUGAGAAUAAGGAUCGGCUAACUUCGUGCCAGCAGCCGCCGUAA
RNAcentral lists this ribosomal RNA (500 nucleotides) under uncultured bacterium. RNAcentral's name for it is "partial 16S ribosomal RNA". It matches the Rfam family "Bacterial small subunit ribosomal RNA", at positions 28 to 523 of the family's 1533-position model. The record is from RNAcentral.